CAUGGCGGCCAACGACCACGACGCCGCGCAGGAGAAGUUACAUCCAAGAAAUCUUAUCCCGGAGCUGUGUAGACUGUUUUAUGGUUUAGGCUGGGUAACAGGAACUGGUGGAGGAAUCAGCUUGAAACAUGGGAAUGAAAUCUACAUCGCUCCUUCAGGAGUCCAAAAGGAAAGAAUACAGCCAGAAGAUAUGUUUGUUUGCGACAUGAACGAACAGGACAUCAGUGGUCCUCCACCGCACAAGAAACUAAAGAAAAGCCAGUGCACACCUCUUUUUAUGAAUGCCUACACUAUGAGAGGGGCAGGUGCAGUGAUCCAUACUCAUUCCAAGGCUGCUGUUAUGGCUACCCUUCUUUACCCGGGGAGUGAGUUCAGUAUUACCCAUCAGGAGAUGAUAAAAGGAAUCCAGAAGUGUACUUCAGGAGGCUAUUACCGAUACGAUGAUACACUAGUGGUUCCCAUUAUUGAGAAUACACCAGAAGAGAAGGAUCUCAAGGACAGAAUGGCACGUGCAGUGGAAAAAUACCCAGACUCCUGUGCUGUAUUGGUCAGACGUCAUGGAGUUUAUGUAUGGGGAGAAACGUGGGAAAAAGCCAAAACGAUACAAUGAUUCAGAACAUUAAGUUCUGGCCUCGCUGAAUGUAUAGGGAGCUUUUGGGAAUGGGUUCAUCCAUGAUUCCACCGGUUGGUUUGCCUUUCAUAUCAAUGCUGGCCGAAAGGGUUGCCAACGUUUUCCUUUCAUACAGACAAGUCCCUCCUCAUAAGAAACCUGCAGGCAAUUUCUGCUUUUAUAUGACACCUGCCAAUACUGUUUGUGUAGUCUUCCCUAGUCCCAUUUUUGUAAUUCACUUCUUCAUUUGCUGAGGGAAAUGCAGCAAAUCAGGACCAUGUGGCAAAAAUGCUGGGCACUUUCCAUACCGCAGUAAUGGAAAUAAAUGAUAACAGAGCUGUCCAGUCAGACCGUCGCAUUGGUGAUGUGAAGCUCAAGGAAGAACACGAUUAAUUGUCACAAAACCUGGUUUCUUACAUGAUGAUGUUAGUUCCAGAUUCUGCCUCACGCGGUCGAAACCAGAAGGGGGCGCUGGUACACUCGGCUGAUUGACAGGUGUCACAGUCAGCUUUGACUGUUGAACACAUCCAAGAAGAAAAGGAGAGUUAAAACAAACAAAGAAAAAAUGCUGAACGAUCAUUGCUAUUUAUGAAUCCUGUCAAAUGCUGCAGUAGGAGGAAUGAAAAUUCAGAUGCAAAACAAGAUUUUGAAAAAAGCUUUGGAGAGCUAAUGUGAUGUUUUGUCUGCGUGCUUUAAAAAUUCAUGUUUCAACAACCUGCAUUUGUUGAUCCUGCUCUACUGCUACGUCAUUUAACUUGUUCUAGGUCUCCAUUUCUGAAAGUCACAGUAGCCUUUAUUCUUGGGCAAAAAAGUGAGGACGACCCCUUAAUUAGAAGUUAGGUAUAAAGUUUAAAGCAUUGUUUGAACUGUUGAUUCAUUCAUGCCCUGUUAAUAGCAUGGUUUUUUUAAUUAAGCCUGUAGCAUAUGUAUUUUUAAAUUCUCUUAAUUGUCAUUGUAAUGAGUAGGAAACACAUAAUUUUAUAGCGUGCAUUUAGAAGUUGUUACUGAGAGACUGCUCUGCGUCUUGUCUGUUUUUUACCUCUUUAAAUUCAUUCACUUUCAGUAAGAUUUUGUUUAUUACAACUUUAAAACAGCUUUUAAUGACCCAUGAUUAGCCAGUCUAAGGUAGAUUUAGUCAAACUGCUCAUUAAAAUAUAGUGGCAUGUA
This is an RNA transcript of Gavia stellata (red-throated loon), 1777 nucleotides long. It is a transcript of the gene named APAF1 interacting protein, with no coding region annotated. NCBI's taxonomy places the organism in Eukaryota, Metazoa, Chordata, Aves, Gaviiformes, Gaviidae. The record is from RefSeq and is a predicted model, not a curated record. The transcript has 8 exons.